CACCGCCCGUCACAUCAUGGAAGUCAUUUGUACCCGAAGUAGGUGCGAUAACCGCAAGGAGUCAGCCUCCUAAGGUAUGAGUGGUAACUGGGAUG
Molecule: ribosomal RNA, 95 nt
Filed under: uncultured bacterium
Lineage: Bacteria
Description: partial 16S ribosomal RNA
Rfam family: Bacterial small subunit ribosomal RNA
Source: RNAcentral